This 74-nucleotide transfer RNA is filed under the name Stegodyphus dumicola. RNAcentral describes it as "tRNA-Cys". It matches the Rfam family "tRNA". From Rfam's summary of the family: Transfer RNA (tRNA) molecules are approximately 80 nucleotides in length. Their secondary structure includes four short double-helical elements and three loops (D, anti-codon, and T loops). Lineage: Eukaryota; Metazoa; Arthropoda; Arachnida; Araneae; Eresidae. The record is from RNAcentral.
GGGGGUAUAGCUCAGUGGUAUACAGCAUUCGACUGCAGAUCGAGAAGUCCCCGGUUCAAAUCCGGGUGCCCCCU